GAGUAUGAAUUUGCUCUUUCAGUAAGC
RNAcentral lists this non-coding RNA (27 nucleotides) under Mus musculus (house mouse). The record is from RNAcentral. Lineage: Eukaryota; Metazoa; Chordata; Mammalia; Rodentia; Muridae.